Molecule: ribosomal RNA, 454 nt
Filed under: uncultured bacterium
Lineage: Bacteria
Description: partial 16S ribosomal RNA
Rfam family: Bacterial small subunit ribosomal RNA
Source: RNAcentral
GAUGAACGCUGACAGAAUGCUUAACACAUGCAAGUCAACUUGAACUUCGGUUUGGGUGGCGGACGGGUGAGUAACGCGUAAAGAACUUGCCUCACAGAUAGGGACAACAUUUGGAAACGAAUGCUAAUACCUGAUAUUAUGAUUAUAUGGCAUCGUAUAAUUAUGAAAGCUAUAUGCGCUGUGAGAGAGCUUUGCGUCCCAUUAGCUAGUUGGAGAGGUAACGGCUCACCAAGGCGAUGAUGGGUAGCCGGCCUGAGAGGGUGAUCGGCCACAAGGGGACUGAGACACGGCCCUUACUCCUACGGGAGGCAGCAGUGGGGAAUAUUGGACAAUGGACCAAGAGUCCGAUCCAGCAAUUCUGUGUGCACGAUGAAGUUUUUCGGAAUGUAAAGUGCUUUCAGUUGGGAAGAAAAAAAUGACGGUACCAACAGAAGAAGUGACGGCUAAAUACGUG